This 126-nucleotide small nucleolar RNA is filed under the name Dasypus novemcinctus (nine-banded armadillo). RNAcentral describes it as "Small nucleolar RNA SNORA31 (ENSDNOG00000042532.1)". It matches the Rfam family "Small nucleolar RNA SNORA31". Rfam says of the family: ACA31 (SNORA31) belongs to the H/ACA class of snoRNAs which are thought to guide the sites of modification of uridines to pseudouridines. ACA31 is predicted to guide the pseudouridylation of U3713 in 28S rRNA and U218 in 18S rRNA. Lineage: Eukaryota; Metazoa; Chordata; Mammalia; Cingulata; Dasypodidae. The record is from RNAcentral.
AUGCAUCUCUGACAGACCUGGAGCAGUUAAUGGCUGCUGUUAAGGUUUCCACUGUGGAUGUAAGAAAUAGGUCCUCACACUGUUUGUCUGGUUGUGGCAGUCAAGAUUGAAUGGGAGAAUACAGGA